Molecule: ribosomal RNA, 440 nt
Filed under: uncultured bacterium
Lineage: Bacteria
Description: partial 16S ribosomal RNA
Rfam family: Bacterial small subunit ribosomal RNA
Source: RNAcentral
CCUACGGGUGGCAGCAGUAGGGAAUAUUGCUCAAUGGGGGAAACCCUGAAGCAGCAACGCCGCGUGGAGGAGGAAGGGGGGAGGAGUGUAAAGGAAGGGUGUUAGAGAAGAUAAUGACGGUAUCUAACGAAUAAGCAACGGCUAACUCCGUGCCAGCAGCCGCGGUAAUACGGAGGGUGCAAGCGUUACUCGGAAUCACUGGGCGUAAAGAGCGCGUAGGCGGGAUAGCAAGUCAGAUGUGAAAUCCUAUGGCUUAACCAUAGAACUGCAUUUGAAACUGUUAAUCUAGAGUAUGGGAGAGGGAGGUGGAAUUCUUGGUGUAGGGGUAAAAUCCGUAGAGAUCAAGAGGAAUACUCAUUGCGAAGGCGACCUGCUAGAACAUAACUGACGCUGAUGCGCGAAAGCGUGGGGAGCAAACAGGAUUAGAUACCCGGGUAGUC